GAGCCCGUGGCUCAAUGGUAGAGCGUUCGACUCAAAUACCAAAGGUCGCGGGUUCGAAUCCCCGGUGUCC
Molecule: transfer RNA, 70 nt
Filed under: Schistocephalus solidus
Lineage: Eukaryota; Metazoa; Platyhelminthes; Cestoda; Diphyllobothriidea; Diphyllobothriidae
Rfam family: tRNA
About the family: Transfer RNA (tRNA) molecules are approximately 80 nucleotides in length. Their secondary structure includes four short double-helical elements and three loops (D, anti-codon, and T loops). Further hydrogen bonds mediate the characteristic L-shaped molecular structure. tRNAs have two regions of fundamental functional importance: the anti-codon, which is responsible for specific mRNA codon recognition, and the 3' end, to which the tRNAs corresponding amino acid is attached (by aminoacyl-tRNA synthetases). tRNAs cope with the degeneracy of the genetic code in two manners: having more than one tRNA (with a specific anti-codon) for a particular amino acid; and 'wobble' base-pairing, i.e. permitting non-standard base-pairing at the 3rd anti-codon position.
Source: Rfam by way of RNAcentral